ACAUGCAGUCGAGCGGCAGCGACACAUUGACCUUCGAGGGAUUUGUUGGGCGGCGAGCGGCGGACGGGUGAGUAAUGCCUGGGAAAUUGCCCUGAUGUGGGGGAUAACCAUUGGAAACGAUGGCUAAUACCGCAUGAUAGCUUCGGCUCAAAGAGGGGGACCUUCGGGCCUCUCGCGUCAGGAUAUGCCCAGGUGGGAUUAGCUAGUUGGUGAGGUAAGGGCUCACCAAGGCGACGAUCCCUAGCUGGUCUGAGAGGAUGAUCAGCCACACUGGAACUGAGACACGGUCCAGACUCCUACGGGAGGCAGCAGUGGGGAAUAUUGCACAAUGGGCGCAAGCCUGAUGCAGCCAUGCCGCGUGUGUGAAGAAGGCCUUCGGGUUGUAAAGCACUUUCAGUCGUGAGGAAGGUGGUAGUGUUAAUAGCACUAUCAUUUGACGUUAGCGACAGAAGAAGCACCGGCUAACUCCGUGCCAGCAGCCGCGGUAAUACGGAGGGUGCGAGCGUUAAUCGGAAUUACUGGGCGUAAAGCGCAUGCAGGUGGUUUGUUAAGUUAGAUGUGAAAGCCCGGGGCUCAACCUCGGAACUGCAUUUGAAACUGGCAGGCUAGAGUACUGUAGAGGGGGGGUAGAAUUUCAGGUGUAGCGGUGAAAUGCGUAGAGAUCUGAAGGAAUACCGGGUGGCGAAGGCGGCCCCCUGGGACAGAUACUGACACUCAGAUGCGAAAGCGUGGGGGAGCAAACCAGGAUUAGAUACCCUGGUAGUCCCACGCCCGUAAACGAUGUCUACUUGGGAGGGUGUGGUCCUUGAGCCGUGGCUUUUCGAGCUAACGGCGUUUAAGGUAGACCGCCUGAGGA
Molecule: ribosomal RNA, 856 nt
Filed under: uncultured bacterium
Lineage: Bacteria
Description: bacterial SSU rRNA
Rfam family: Bacterial small subunit ribosomal RNA
Source: RNAcentral